Molecule: ribosomal RNA, 461 nt
Filed under: uncultured bacterium
Lineage: Bacteria
Description: bacterial SSU rRNA
Rfam family: Bacterial small subunit ribosomal RNA
Source: RNAcentral
ACGGUACCUGAUCAGAAAGCCACGGCUAACUACGUGCCAGCAGCCGCGGUAAUACGUAGGUGGCAAGCGUUAUCCGGAAUUAUUGGGCGUAAAGCGCGCGUAGGCGGUUUUUUAAGUCUGAUGUGAAAGCCCACGGCUCAACCGUGGAGGGUCAUUGGAAACUGGAAAACUUGAGUGCAGAAGAGGAAAGUGGAAUUCCAUGUGUAGCGGUGAAAUGCGCAGAGAUAUGGAGGAACACCAGUGGCGAAGGCGACUUUCUGGUCUGUAACUGACGCUGAUGUGCGAAAGCGUGGGGAUCAAACAGGAUUAGAUACCCUGGUAGUCCACGCCGUAAACGAUGAGUGCUAAGUGUUAGGGGGUUUCCGCCCCUUAGUGCUGCAGCUAACGCAUUAAGCACUCCGCCUGGGGAGUACGACCGCAAGGUUGAAACUCAAAGGAAUUGACGGGGACCCGCACAAGCG